GGGGGCUCAGUGGUAGAGCACUUGCCUUGCAUGCAUGAGGCCCUGGGUUCAAUUCCUCAGCACCA
Molecule: non-coding RNA, 65 nt
Organism: Dipodomys ordii (Ord's kangaroo rat)
Lineage: Eukaryota; Metazoa; Chordata; Mammalia; Rodentia; Heteromyidae
Source: Rfam